CCUACGGGAGGCAGCAGUGAGGAAUAUUGGUCAAUGGCCGAGAGGCUGAACCAGCCAAGUCGCGUGAGGGAAGACGGCCCUACGGGUUGUAAACCUCUUUUGUCGGGGAGCAAAGCGAACCACGUGUGGUCCAUUGAGAGUACCCGAAGAAAAAGCAUCGGCUAACUCCGUGCCAGCAGCCGCGGUAAUACGGAGGAUGCGAGCGUUAUCCGGAUUUAUUGGGUUUAAAGGGUGCGCAGGCGGAGGUGCAAGUCAGCGGUCAAAUCGCGGGGCUCAACCCCGGACUGCCGUUGAAACUGCAUCCCUUGAGUGCGAGAGAAGUAUGCGGAAUGCGUGGUGUAGCGGUGAAAUGCAUAGAUAUCACGCAGAACUCCGAUUGCGAAGGCAGCAUACCGGCGCGCAACUGACGCUCAGGCACGAAAGCGUGGGUAUCGAACAGGAUUAGAUACCCGGGUAGUC
Molecule: ribosomal RNA, 459 nt
Filed under: uncultured bacterium
Lineage: Bacteria
Description: partial 16S ribosomal RNA
Rfam family: Bacterial small subunit ribosomal RNA
Source: RNAcentral